UACAGAGGGGGCCAGCGUUAUUCGGAAUUAUUGGGCGUAAAGGGCGCGUAGGCGGCCAUGCGUGUCUUCCGUGAAAUCCCUCGGCUUAACCGAGGACGUGCGGAAGAAACUGCAAGGCUCGAGUCCGGAAGAGGGGGGCGGAAUUCCCAGUGUAGCGGUGAAAUGCGUAGAUAUUGGGAGGAACACCAGUGGCGAAGGCGGAGACCUGGGCCGAUACUGACGCUGAGGUGCGAAAGCGUGGGGAGCAAACAGG
RNAcentral lists this ribosomal RNA (253 nucleotides) under uncultured bacterium. RNAcentral describes it as "partial 16S ribosomal RNA". It matches the Rfam family "Bacterial small subunit ribosomal RNA", at positions 524 to 776 of the family's 1533-position model. The record is from RNAcentral.